RNAcentral lists this ribosomal RNA (253 nucleotides) under uncultured bacterium. Its description in RNAcentral is "partial 16S ribosomal RNA". It matches the Rfam family "Bacterial small subunit ribosomal RNA", at positions 524 to 776 of the family's 1533-position model. The record is from RNAcentral.
GACAGAGGGUGCAAGCGUUGUUCGAAAUUACUGGGCGUAAAGGGUACGUAGGCGGCGAAGUGUGUCUGAUGUGAAAGACCUUGGCUUAACCAAGGAAGUGCAUUGGAAACUACUUUGCUAGAGUGUGAGAGAGGAUGGUGGAAUUCCCAGAGUAGAGGUGAAAUUCGUAGAUACUGGGAGGAACAUCUGAGGCGAAGGCGACCAUCUGGAUCAUAACUGACGCUGAGGUACGAAAGCAUGGGUAGCAAACAGG